UGCGUCUGUAGCUCAGUGGAUAGAGCGAUGCCCUCCGGAGGCAUGUGCGGCGGUUCGACUCCGCCCAGACGUGU
This 74-nucleotide transfer RNA is filed under the name Mediterraneibacter gnavus. RNAcentral describes it as "tRNA-Arg". It matches the Rfam family "tRNA". Rfam says of the family: Transfer RNA (tRNA) molecules are approximately 80 nucleotides in length. The record is from RNAcentral. RNAcentral also lists the same sequence under 1 other name. Lineage: Bacteria; Bacillati; Bacillota; Clostridia; Lachnospirales; Lachnospiraceae.